CCUACGGGGGGCAGCAGUGGGGAAUAUUGCACAAUGGGGGAAACCCUGAUGCAGCGACGCCGCGUGAAGGAAGAAGUAUUUCGGUAUGUAAACUUCUAUCAGCAGGGAAGAAAAUGACGGUACCUGACUAAGAAGCCCCGGCUAACUACGUGCCAGCAGCCGCGGUAAUACGUAGGGGGCAAGCGUUAUCCGGAUUUACUGGGUGUAAAGGGAGCGUAGACGGCAGCGCAAGUCUGGAGUGAAAUGCCGGGGCCCAACCCCGGAACUGCUCUGGAAACUGUGAAGCUGGAGUGCAGGAGAGGUAAGCGGAAUUCCUGGUGUAGCGGUGAAAUGCGUAGAUAUCAGGAGGAACACCGGCGGCGAAGGCGGCUUACUGGACUGUAACUGACGUUGAGGCACGAAAGCGUGGGGAGCAAACAGGAUUAGAUACCCGAGUAGUC
This 440-nucleotide ribosomal RNA is filed under the name uncultured bacterium. RNAcentral describes it as "partial 16S ribosomal RNA". It matches the Rfam family "Bacterial small subunit ribosomal RNA", at positions 338 to 795 of the family's 1533-position model. The record is from RNAcentral.